UUUUUUCUUUUUUUUUUCCAAGAGGACACACUCAGCCACCCACCUCAUGGGACUGCUAUGAGAAUGACUGAAAUAAUUAAUUGUGAAGAGCUUUGUGCCCCUGGGAGUAAGAACACUAUGUGCUCCUGAAUGCAGGUUUCUGAUAACUGUGGAGACUGUGACAUCAGAAUAGAGGAAAAACUUUCAGGACUCAUGGAGAGCUGAAAUGUUCAUGAAUAUUAAGCAGAACAGGAAUUAACUGCAUGGACUAAACUAACAGAAGUCUAAAGACACAACUGGAGAAACUGGUUAUUUUACCAAGGCUUAGGCUGGAAUGGUGUGCUUUCCUUUAAAGAAUCAAACUUGACUUAUGGAGCCAAUAAAAGCCUCUUGGGAAAACUGGCCUCAUACAUGUCUACACAGUCCCUGUAUAGGGUUCCUGACCUGUGAUAUAUUAUAAAACAAGAAAUUUAGUUCCAAUGUAUCCAAGCUGUCCCUUCGGAAGGUGAUCAGAAGAGAGAAAUGAGUUUGGAAAAGAAAAGGAAUAGCUGAACAAGAGCAAGUGAUUUCAGAAAUCUAAACCCUGAGAAAACAUGGGUAACAGAGAAGAACUUCUGCUGUGAUAUCUACUUCUGCAGGGAGUAGAGAAACAGAAGUAGAAGGUAAAUCUGAGGCCAACUACUUCCUUGGGAAACACCACCAUCUCUCAGUCAGCAAAGACAGAACCAGAGAGAGAGACUCUGCAAGUUCAGGAAGAAAGGUUCCAACUACUUUUACUCUCCGUUGCAUCUCCUAAUGUCACCACUUCCUCAGAGCAGGGUUUAGUCACUACUACAAAACAUUGCUCAGGAACUGCAGAGCCACUAGCCUGGCAUGUGGUGACACAUUCCCAACACAAUUCUCUAACAUUCUGAUUUCCCUUGCAAAGAUAAAUUCAAGCGAACUUAGAACUCUUAAAGAUCAGAUUGAGAUUGAAUGCCAUUGGCUUUCUCCCCAUACCUAUGCUCCUACACAUCUCUUCAGCCCAGCACAGGGUUUUAAAAGCUCACUGCUUAACACAGGGCUAUCUCCUCUGCUGGUUAUGAGCUGCAAGGAUAGAGUCCAUGUCCUGUUUGUGUUGGUGUUCCUGGCCACUAGCCAAGAACCUGCAGCCCAGCCCUAGAAUAGCAGUUGAAUGAAUGUGGCAGCCCACACACUCAAAGACACCAGAAUUAUCUUACCCUUUCCCAGAGAGCUUCAGGUACCUUUCUUUUCCUAAAUGAGUCACUAAUGUGUCUGUAUAAAUAUGGUUUCCAUAUAUGUCACAGAGCCCAAACAUUUCAUCUGACUUACUGUGGUUUACUUUUUGUGACUGCAUUUUUAUUAUAUCUUAUAUAAAAAGGGGGAUAUAACAGAAGGAAAAAACAGUAAAGCAAAAACCCAUAUCUAGCUUCAGAGCAUUACAUAUCCACUGGAAGCCCUAAAGCAAUGCUCCAUGAUCGCAUGGCCUUUCCGCUGCAUAACCCUGAGGUCAUUUUUUGAUACAUAAUUCUCAAAGUAUGCAGUGCUGAAAGACCUUGAAGAGCUUUCUUAAAUGAUGUUAUGGUUAAAAUUUCUAUGAUUGCAGUCCUUGAAAUCAUAAAAGAAUAAAUACAUCCUUGGAAAAGA
Long non-coding RNA from Homo sapiens (human), 1626 nucleotides. Ensembl annotates it as CYP2U1 and SGMS2 antisense RNA 1. Its record names the gene CYP2U1-AS1. The record is from Ensembl. Lineage: Eukaryota; Metazoa; Chordata; Mammalia; Primates; Hominidae.